Molecule: ribosomal RNA, 249 nt
Filed under: uncultured bacterium
Lineage: Bacteria
Description: partial 16S ribosomal RNA
Rfam family: Bacterial small subunit ribosomal RNA
Source: RNAcentral
UACAGAGGGGGCAAGCGUUGUCCGGAAUUACUGGGCGUACAGCGCGCGCAGGCGGUUACUGACGUGCCGUGUGACAAGCGGGGCUCAACCCCGAGGGCCACGGUAACGGGCGACUGGAGGUAGGGAGAGGGAUGUGGAAUGCCCGGUGGAGCGGUGAAAUGCGCAGAUAUCAGGAGGAACACCGAUGGCGAAGGCAGGUCUCUGGGCCAUAACUGACGCUGAGAAGCGAAAGCAUGGGGAGCGAACAGG